This 503-nucleotide ribosomal RNA is filed under the name uncultured bacterium. RNAcentral describes it as "partial 16S ribosomal RNA". It matches the Rfam family "Bacterial small subunit ribosomal RNA", at positions 30 to 523 of the family's 1533-position model. The record is from RNAcentral.
AUUGACCUCUUUCGGCAGGCUGCCGCCAUGCAAGUCGAGCGGGGUGAUGGUUGUUGCACUAGCCGUUAGCGGCGGACGGGUGAGUAAUGCAUAGGCAUCUGCCACUUAUAGGGGGACCAGCGCUCGAAAGGCAUGCUCAUACCGCCUCCGUCCUACGGGCCCCCUCAGGGGAUCCCUUUUGACCUUGCGCUAAUAGAUGAGCCUAAGUCGGAUUAGCUAGUUGGUGGGGUAAAGGCCUACCAAGGCGACGAUCUGUAGCGGGUCUGAGAGGAUGAUCCGCCACACUGGGACUGAGACACGGCCCAGACUCCUACGGGAGGCAGCAGUGGGGAAUAUUGGACAAUGGGGGGAACACGUAUGCAGCCAUGAAGAGUGUGUGAAGAAGGCCUUAUGGUUGGAAAGCACUUUAAGCGAGGAGGAGGCUCUUUUGGUUAAUACCCAAGAUGAGUGGACGUUACUCGCAGAAUAAGCACCGGCUAACUCUGUGCCAGCCGCCGCAGUAA